GGAGGAUCCAAGCGUUAUCCGGAAUCAUUGGGUUUAAAGGGUCCGUAGGCGGUUUGAUAAGUCAGUGGUGAAAGCCCAUCGCUCAACGAUGGAACGGCCAUUGAUACUGUCAGACUUGAAUUAUUGGGAAGUAACUAGAAUAUGUAGUGUAGCGGUGAAAUGCUUAGAUAUUACAUGGAAUACCAAUUGCGAAGGCAGGUUACUACCAAUGGAUUGACGCUGAUGGACGAAAGCGUGGGGAGCGAACAGGAUUAGAUACCCUGGUAGUCCACGCCGUAAACGAUGGAUACUAGCUGUUCGGGGCAACCUGAGCGGCUAAGCGAAAGUGAUAAGUAUCCCACCUGGGGAGUACGUUCGCAAGAAUG
RNAcentral lists this ribosomal RNA (365 nucleotides) under uncultured bacterium. RNAcentral describes it as "bacterial SSU rRNA". It matches the Rfam family "Bacterial small subunit ribosomal RNA", at positions 527 to 896 of the family's 1533-position model. The record is from RNAcentral.